Molecule: long non-coding RNA, 234 nt
Filed under: Apteryx owenii (little spotted kiwi)
Lineage: Eukaryota; Metazoa; Chordata; Aves; Apterygiformes; Apterygidae
Description: lncRNA (ENSAOWG00000011564.1)
Source: RNAcentral
AUGACUAUCACACGAUGGAUACCAUAUAGGGCAUGCUAUAGAUGUUUUCCUGAGUCUGAGCGAUCAUCAAGCCUACUGGGAGAAAACAUAAGAAGGAAAGGAUGUGAGGAGAAAGCAGGACAGAAAACAGACCUGACCUCAGACGGUGAUAUGGAAGGUGAGAAGAGUGGGAUUCAAGAAAAUUGGACAGAAACCUGUCACACAUGUUAUGGCUCCAAGUAUAACCCCUACUGA